GACGGGGCCCGCACAAGCGGUGGAGCAUGUGGUUUAAUUCGAUGCAACGCGAAGAACCUUACCUGGUCUUGACAUCCACGGAGGUUUUCAGAGAUGAGAAUGUGCCUUCGGGAACCGUGAGACAGGUGCUGCAUGGCUGUCGUCGGCUCGUGUUGUGAAAUGUUGGGUUAAGUCCCGCAACGAGCGCAACCCUUAUCCUUUGUUGCCAGCGGUCCGGCCGGGAACUCAAAGGAGACUGCCAGUGAUAAACUGGAGGAAGGUGGGAUGACGUCAAGUCAUCAUGGCCCUUACGACCAGGGCUACACACGUGCUACAAUGGCGCAUACAAAGAGAAGCGACCUCGCGAGAGCAAGCGGACCUCAUAAAGUGCGUCGUAGUCCGGAUUGGAGUCUGCAACUCGACUCCAUGAAGUCGGAAUCGCUAGUAAUCGUGGAUCAGAAUGCCACGGUGAAUACGUUCCCGGGCCUU
Molecule: ribosomal RNA, 468 nt
Filed under: uncultured Enterobacteriaceae bacterium
Lineage: Bacteria; Pseudomonadati; Pseudomonadota; Gammaproteobacteria; Enterobacterales; Enterobacteriaceae
Description: bacterial SSU rRNA
Rfam family: Bacterial small subunit ribosomal RNA
Source: RNAcentral